This 71-nucleotide transfer RNA is filed under the name Lygodactylus capensis (Cape dwarf gecko). RNAcentral describes it as "tRNA-Tyr". Lineage: Eukaryota; Metazoa; Chordata; Lepidosauria; Squamata; Gekkonidae. The record is from RNAcentral.
GGUAGUGUGGCCGAGCAGGAGGCGGUGAGUUGUAGCCUCACCUACUGGGGACAUACCCACGCUACCAAGCC